This 420-nucleotide ribosomal RNA is filed under the name Triticum aestivum (bread wheat). RNAcentral's name for it is "partial small subunit ribosomal RNA". The record is from RNAcentral. Lineage: Eukaryota; Viridiplantae; Streptophyta; Magnoliopsida; Poales; Poaceae.
AUGCGCAGCGUCAAGGUUUUGCAUCUCACGUCUAGUGGCCCUAAUCUUGAUGCCGCUAUAGUCUUCCUCAAAAAAAUUCCUUGCUUGGAGAAGCUCUACAUCACGUCAUGUCCUGGAAAUGAUAUGGAGAAAGUGCAUCAUCUUCAACCACAAGAUCCUAUUGAACGCCUCGAUCAUCUCAGAGAAGUAGAGUUGAAGUUUUAUAUUGGCAGCAGAACGGAUGUCAACUUUGCCAAGUUCUUUCUUCUGAAUGGUAAAGUGCUCGAGUUAAUGAGGUUUGGUGUCAAGGACCAAUAUACUGAGGAAUGGGUAGCUGAUCAACACAGCCAGCUACAUGUUGAUAGCAGGCCUUCUCCAAAUGCUCAACUUGAAUUUACAGCUGCUGAUGUUGGCAACCUUUUGACCAUAUUCUGUUCUUGA